AGCAGCCGCGGUAAUUCCAGCUCCAAUAGCGUAUAUUAAAGUUGUUGCAGUUAAAAAGCUCGUAGUUGAAUUUUAGGCCUGGCCGGACGGUCCGUCUCUGGCGAGUACUGUUCUGUCGUCGGGUCUAUCCUUCUGGUGAGCCGGUAUGUUCUUAAUUGGGCGUGUCGGGGAACCAGGACCAUUACCUUGAAAAAUUAGAGUGUUUAAAGCAGGCUUUUGCUUGAAUAGAUUAGCAUGGAAUAAUAGAAUAGGACGCUGUGGUUCUAUUUUGUUGGUUCUAGGACCACCGUAAUGAUUAAUAGGGAUAGUUGGGGGCAUUAGUAUUCAAUUGUCAGAGGUGAAAUUCUUGGAUUUAUUGAAGACUAACUACUGCGAAAGCAUUUGCCAAGGAUGUUUUCAUUAAUCAAGAACGAAAGUUAGGGGAUCGAAGACGAUCAGAUACCGUCGUAG
This 450-nucleotide ribosomal RNA is filed under the name uncultured Archaeospora. Its description in RNAcentral is "SSU rRNA". It matches the Rfam family "Eukaryotic small subunit ribosomal RNA", at positions 569 to 1023 of the family's 1831-position model. The record is from RNAcentral. Lineage: Eukaryota; Fungi; Glomeromycota; Glomeromycetes; Archaeosporales; Archaeosporaceae.